RNAcentral lists this ribosomal RNA (366 nucleotides) under Bannania sp. MF-2017. Its description in RNAcentral is "partial 16S ribosomal RNA". Lineage: Eukaryota; Metazoa; Arthropoda; Insecta; Hemiptera; Reduviidae. The record is from RNAcentral.
UAUCAAAAACAUGUCCUUUAUGUUUUUAAUUUUAAGGUUUAACCUGCCCAAUGAUUUAUUUAAUGGCCGCAGUAUAUUAACUGUGCUAAGGUAGCAUAAUCAUUUGUCUUUUAAUUGUAGGCUAGUAUGAAAGGUUGGACGAGGAAUUAACUUUCUUUAUUAUAAUUCUUGAAUUUAAUUUUUAAGUUAAAAAGCUUAAAUUUUUUUAUGGGACGAGAAGACCCUAUAGAUCUUUAUAUUUAUAUUUAUUUAUUAAUUUUAGGAUUGAUGAUUUUUUUAAGUGAAUUAAUUAUUUAAUUGGGGUGAUUGAAGAAUUUUGUGAACUUCUUUUUUGUUGUUUUCAUAAUUUUAUGUAUAUUUGAUCCA